This 253-nucleotide ribosomal RNA is filed under the name uncultured bacterium. RNAcentral describes it as "partial 16S ribosomal RNA". It matches the Rfam family "Bacterial small subunit ribosomal RNA", at positions 524 to 776 of the family's 1533-position model. The record is from RNAcentral.
UACAGAGGUCUCAAGCGUUGUUCGGAUUCAUUGGGCGUAAAGGGUGCGUAGGUGGCGCCGUAAGUCGGGUGUGAAAUUUCGGAGCUUAACUCCGAAACUGCAUUCGAUACUGCGGUGCUUGAGGACUGGAGAGGAGACUGGAAUUUACGGUGUAGCGGUGAAAUGCGUAGAUAUCAGGAGGAACACCGGUGGCGAAGGCGGGUCUCUGGACAGUUCCUGACGCUGAGGCACGAAGGUCAGGGGAGCAAACGGG